This 985-nucleotide long non-coding RNA is filed under the name Amborella trichopoda. RNAcentral's name for it is "long non-coding RNA (ATRI_LNC003432)". The record is from RNAcentral. Lineage: Eukaryota; Viridiplantae; Streptophyta; Magnoliopsida; Amborellales; Amborellaceae.
GGACAUCUUGGCCCUCACAGAGAACUCGGCUGUGCUGGAACUAAGACAAAAAAAAUAACACUUCCAAAAAGAAACCCAAUUCAACACGACAAGCAGCGUUCAAACAAAAUAGAAAAAUGCACGAAACCCAAGGUCAUAGAAGAAAACAAUUUCCCCUGUCGUCGGAAUCCCUUUUCUGGUGAUCUCUCGAAAACCCAAAGAAUAUCACAUAGCAAAGACCAAAAAAGCGAACUAAACCUGUUGCAAAAACGACUGAAAAGACCUUCCCCAGGCUCGCAAUCAAUACGGAGACACCGCAGAUUAGAAAACAGACCAUGGAAGAGUUCAUAAAACUAACCAGACUCCUUCCCUCACAAAGGAGACUACUGCAGCACAAUCAAAAGGGAUCAAAACGAUCACAAGAAAAUGAACUUCAAUAAUAUAACAACAGAGCGACCAAACUCACACUGCAAGUACCUGGAAAGAGCUCUCGAAGUUUGACAAUGGCGACGAGCUCCUCAGGAAAGGAUAAGGCUGUCAUUUGUACAAAAGAACUUAAGGGCAUUUUGGUCAUUAUUCGUAAUUUCCACUUUAUUUUAAUUUCUAUUAAUUGUAUUUAGGCUUAGUUUUUUAGUAUUUACCUCUGUUUGGUGAGAACUCUAUAUAAACAAGCUCAAGUCAAUUGUAAAAUGGGGAUUACAAUUCAAUAAAGGAGAGGCAUUACGCUUGCUUUUGCUUGUCUUUUCUUCUAAUCCUAGUAUCCCACAAAGAGGAGAGAGAAAACUUUUGCAAGGGAGAGAAAUACCCCCAACUACGCAGGUACACAUCUCUCUUCUCUUGAAGAUAUCUAACAUCCCAAGAGCUUUCUCUCUUCUCCUCCAAACACAUAAUCCCACGCCCGUGCAAAGCCACGCUGGCGCAAACAAAUCAAAGGGCUUCAAGCCACGUGCAGCCGUGUCUAGCCCCCCUUUCUUGGACAAUCCAACCAAACCAACGGAACCCCCCA